AUUGAACGCUGGCGGCAUGCUUUACACAUGCAAGUCGAACGGCAGCACGGACUUCGGUCUGGUGGCGAGUGGCGAACGGGUGAGUAAUACAUCGGAACGUGCCCAGUUGUGGGGGAUAACUACUCGAAAGAGUAGCUAAUACCGCAUGAGAACUGAGGUUGAAAGCAGGGGAUCGUAAGACCUUGCGCAACUGGAGCGGCCGAUGGCAGAUUAGGUAGUUGGUGGGAGAAAAGCUUACCAAGCCGACGAUCUGGAGCUGGUCUGAGAGGACGACCAGCCACACUGGGACUGAGACACGGCCCAGACUCCUACGUGAGGCAGCAGUGGGGAAUUUUGGACAAUGGGCGAUAGCCUGAUCCAGCAAUGCCGCGUGCAGGAUGAAGGCCUUCGGGUUGUAAACUGCUUUUGUACGGAACGAAAAGCUUCGGGUUAAUACCCUGGAGUCAUGACGGUACCGUAAGAAUAAGCACCGGCUAACUACGUGCCAGCAGCAGCCGCCG
This 500-nucleotide ribosomal RNA is filed under the name uncultured bacterium. RNAcentral describes it as "partial 16S ribosomal RNA". It matches the Rfam family "Bacterial small subunit ribosomal RNA", at positions 30 to 523 of the family's 1533-position model. The record is from RNAcentral.